This 1853-nucleotide long non-coding RNA is filed under the name Malus domestica (apple). RNAcentral describes it as "long non-coding RNA (MDOM_LNC007182)". The record is from RNAcentral. Lineage: Eukaryota; Viridiplantae; Streptophyta; Magnoliopsida; Rosales; Rosaceae.
ACUACUUGGAAUUAAGAAAGAUCGAGCAAACAUAAUAAUCUACAAACAAAAAUUAACUAAUGAAAACUUUGAGUUAAUUGGCUUGAGAGUUGAAACUUCAGAUAAGAAAAUGCAACAAUUAAUAUUCUGAUUUCUGAAACAAGAUCGGCUUAGUAGGCCAGCUAGCUCAUGAAGUAAUCAUCACCAAACAAGUAAAUCAUCCUCUCCUUCCUCCAUGGAUCCUUAUCUUUUGAGUUUGGGGAAGUACUACAAGUUUUAGGCAAUAGCUCUGAUCUACAGAGAGGACAUGUUAGCUGACCUUGAUCAAUCCAGACAUCUAGGCACUCCUUAUGAAAAGCAUGUGAACAAUUGCAUGGCUCUCUCACCACUUGGCCUUCCUCCAUGCUAUCCAUGCACACUAUGCACACAUAUUCACGUGGCAGUCCUGUUCUUCUGCUUCUGCUUGGCUUCGUGUUUUCAUGAGAGUUUCUUGGUAUUGCAGCACCGGGAGUUGGUUCUUGACUGAUUCAGCUAUGCAGUGGACCGGUAAUGGUACCAACCAAGGUGAAGGCCGCCAUGAAGGAGUGGCUGCUUGUGGUGGCGGUGGUGGGAAUGAAUCAUUCUCUACCGGACGAUGUUCAUAAAUAUGUAGCUUGUUAAAUUGUUGACGUUGUUUAAUGAGUAAGCAGUAGUGUAACUUGAUCAUGUUUAUUACUAAGUGUUGAUAAACGUGCUCAUUUCUUAUUGUUGAUGCAUCAUUUAAUUUGUAAAUUUUGUCUACAAAUUUAGUUUCCAUAGUAUUAUCCUAAUAUAAGAGAUUAUCUUCUGAAGUCCUAUGUAAUCUAUUGAUCAAACGUUGCGGUGGCGGAUUGCUCUAUAUUCAGCCACGCCACAUUAACCCCCAAAGCGAUCUUCAUCUAGUUGCAGAGCGAAAUCCUGCAGCCAAUUGGGGCUUAGAAUAACUAGCCCAGCAAUAAGUUCAAUUCUUCUAUAAAAUAAAGGGGACGGGUUGCGUCCGAGACGGGUGAAGUGCGUGCACAAGAGUAGUUCUUGCUACAACUCUCUCUUUUUUAUAGGUUCUACGGCAACUACUUGGAAUUAAGAAAGAUCGAGCAAACAUAAUAAUCUACAAACAAAAAUUAACUAAUGAAAACUUUGAGUUAAUUGGCUUGAGAGUUGAAACUUCAGAUAAGAAAAUGCAACAAUUAAUAUUCUGAUUUCUGAAACAAGAUCGGCUUAGUAGGCCAGCUAGCUCAUGAAGUAAUCAUCACCAAACAAGUAAAUCAUCCUCUCCUUCCUCCAUGGAUCCUUAUCUUUUGAGUUUGGGGAAGUACUACAAGUUUUAGGCAAUAGCUCUGAUCUACAGAGAGGACAUGUUAGCUGACCUUGAUCAAUCCAGACAUCUAGGCACUCCUUAUGAAAAGCAUGUGAACAAUUGCAUGGCUCUCUCACCACUUGGCCUUCCUCCAUGCUAUCCAUGCACACUAUGCACACAUAUUCACGUGGCAGUCCUGUUCUUCUGCUUCUGCUUGGCUUCGUGUUUUCAUGAGAGUUUCUUGGUAUUGCAGCACCGGGAGUUGGUUCUUGACUGAUUCAGCUAUGCAGUGGACCGGUAAUGGUACCAACCAAGGUGAAGGCCGCCAUGAAGGAGUGGCUGCUUGUGGUGGCGGUGGUGGGAAUGAAUCAUUCUCUACCGGACGAUGUUCAUAAAUAUGUAGCUUGUUAAAUUGUUGACGUUGUUUAAUGAGUAAGCAGUAGUGUAACUUGAUCAUGUUGAGUAGAUCGAGAAGAACGAGUAACAAUUUGGAAAGCAGGUUUCUCGGUCGACCCAUCAGAUGAAUGUAAUGUGAGAGAGAGAGAGAGAGAGAGAGAGA